Small nucleolar RNA from Erinaceus europaeus (western European hedgehog), 131 nucleotides. Lineage: Eukaryota; Metazoa; Chordata; Mammalia; Eulipotyphla; Erinaceidae. The record is from Ensembl.
CCCUCCUACAAAGGCGUGUCUGAGGCUCUCAGUCUUCAGACACGUAAGAACUGGAGGUAAAGAAAUGUGGACUUGGAGAAGUCUCGGGCUAGCUUAUUCUCUGCAGGCCCAAGAUCAACCUUCCCACAAAG